UGGAGAGAUGGCUGAGUGGUCGAAAGCGGCAGAUUGCUAAUCUGCUGUAUGGUUAAAUCCAUACCGAGGGUUCGAAUCCCUCUCUCUCCU
RNAcentral lists this transfer RNA (90 nucleotides) under Porphyra umbilicalis (laver). Its description in RNAcentral is "transfer RNA-Ser". It matches the Rfam family "tRNA". Rfam says of the family: Transfer RNA (tRNA) molecules are approximately 80 nucleotides in length. Their secondary structure includes four short double-helical elements and three loops (D, anti-codon, and T loops). The record is from RNAcentral. Lineage: Eukaryota; Rhodophyta; Bangiophyceae; Bangiales; Bangiaceae.